RNAcentral lists this ribosomal RNA (389 nucleotides) under uncultured bacterium. RNAcentral describes it as "bacterial SSU rRNA". It matches the Rfam family "Bacterial small subunit ribosomal RNA", at positions 28 to 416 of the family's 1533-position model. The record is from RNAcentral.
GACGAACGCUGGCGGCGUGCUUAACACAUGCAAGUCGAGCGGUAAGGCCCUUUCGGGGGUACGACGAGCGGCGAACGGGUGAGUAACACGUGGGUGACCUGCCCUCAGCUCUGGGAUAAGCCUGGGAAACUGGGUCUAAUAACUGGAUAUGACUCCACGGUGCAUGUCGUGGGGUGGAAAGCCUUGUGCGGCUGAGGAUGGGCCCGCGGCCUAUCAGCUUGUUGGNGGGGUGANGGCCUACCAAGGCGACGACGGGUAGCCGGCCUGAGAGGGCGACCGGCCACACUGGGACUGAGACACGGCCCAGACUCCUACGGGAGGCAGCAGUGGGGAAUCUUGCGCAAUGGGCGAAAGCCUGACGCAGCGACGCCGCGUGAGGGAUGACGGCC